RNAcentral lists this non-coding RNA (224 nucleotides) under Pan troglodytes (chimpanzee). Lineage: Eukaryota; Metazoa; Chordata; Mammalia; Primates; Hominidae. The record is from RNAcentral.
CUCCAGCCCCGACUCCGGCCCCGACCGCAGCAGAAGUGCACGAGGUCUACGGUCAUCAGGGUCACAACCAAGCACACUGAGCUGGGGGCUGCGAUGCUGAAGGCAGCUGUCCACAUCACUUGCUCUCUGCGCGGGCCGGUCAGCUCCAGAGGAAUUCAUCUGGGGCAGGCCCAACUCGGCCCGCUGAAUUAGCCUCCACGAUCCCCGGGCCUCCCCGGCGCCAG